Long non-coding RNA from Triticum dicoccoides, 1787 nucleotides. RefSeq lists it as uncharacterized. NCBI's taxonomy places the organism in Eukaryota, Viridiplantae, Streptophyta, Magnoliopsida, Poales, Poaceae. The record is from RefSeq and is a predicted model, not a curated record. The transcript is spliced from 3 exons.
UCCUCGGACGCCCCAAAUCCUCAUCUCGCCCAAUCUCGCCGUCGGCGAUCCGGCAACCGCAAACCCUAGCUUGGCCGCCCGCUGAAAGACCGAGCGCCCUCUGCCUCACCACCUCGAGCCUCUCACCGAGAGGGCGGCGGGAACGACGGAGCCGUGCAGUUGUCGGUGCCCAAGUGCGGCGGAGCGGCUGCAGUCCUGCAACGCGCCCUUCCUCGAGUGGCACGCAUGGCUGGCGGCAUGACGCGAACGACGAGCAACGUCUGGUGGAGGAGCUCCAGUAGGAGGUGGUGCACCAGAGCCGAUAGUCGCGUUCUUCUUCGUCGCCAUCCUGUAGUGUAGUGUGGCCCGAAGCAAUGAGAUGCUCAUGCAUGUGCCCAGCAACUAACAUCAGCUAGACUCCUAGGAGGAUGAAAUCAGGUAAUAUGUCAGGCAGGUGGCCCAGCCAUUCAACUUCUUAAAACUGUUUUGUUUUUGGGCAACGGUCGCCUCUGUGUCCACUCAGCAGGGAAUUGCAGUGCAUAUGCAAGUAAACUGUUUCAUAUCUAUCCUGAGUUUCCUGCACUACAUAAUAUAUAUUAUCCAUAUAAUAUAUCUGUAAUAGUACCCUGUCCAAAAUGUUAGUGCUGUUUUUGCAAUUUUGUAAACCAGAUUUGUGGCAAGUGCAGUGCAUAUGGAAGUAAUCUGGGCUGGACUAAUCUUGAAGUCUUCCAUCAAUUUUUAUUACGACAAAAUAUUUGUUCUUAUCACAUAUAUAGUACGCACUGGGCAAUCAUGAUUCAUGGGCAGUUGAUAUAUAUGUUGGUUGAUGAAAAUUACUUUAGGGUAUCCAUUCUGCUAUAUUUUACAUACUGAACAAUUUUUUUGACAUCUGAUCUGGUAGAGAAAACAAGCAUAGAUAUUUUGUGCUUACCUACAGAUAAUUUCAUAUAGAUUACUUAGCAUUCAACAUGAUUUAGUUUCCAGUCCGUAUAGAUUAAUCAUUUUAUGAGCUAACUAGAAUAUUUUAGGAUUUUAUUAUAUUUUCAGUUAUGGUCGUGGACUGUGCACACACUUCACAGAAUGAAAAACUACAUCAAGCAUUACUUUUUACAUGCAUGAAGCAUUUUACAAUAAAUUUCCUAUUAUGGAGAAGUCAUUCAUCAACUAGCUGAAUCAACGAACACUGUAUGGCAAGGCGAACAAGCACACUAAAUAAGACGAGCCAUCGUAAUACCAAGCUAUUUUUACAAAGGCAUUUCACUGUAGGACUAUGUUGUGAUUAGCAUUUUUCUUCAGCUUCAGAUGGUUAUCUUGGAUUGAAACGACACUUUGCAUUUUUUCACCUUUUUGUAUAGUUCUGACGACCAAAUUUAGAAAAUUGAACUGGUGGUGAGUUCAAUCUGCUCUGAAGCUUCUGUAUAAUAUCAUUUUUGUAGGUCGAACAUAAAAGGAUGCACAUUGCUUUUUAAAGGUUGAAUAUAACGUUUCAUGAAUCAACCUUGAGGAGAAUGGAUGAUCGAGUAGCACUCAAGAUGGCAAGGUGGUUGAAAUUUACGUAAUGUUGAAGCUUGAGGACUCAUGAGGUAGUUGUACGUCUACAGUGGUUGAUGAUCGUCUACAGUGGUGUAUGUGAGUACUAAAACCCUUCCGUUCCUCUCCCGACAUAUGCCCCAAACGAUUAGUGGCAGAAGGUAGUUGAGACUACUUUUCUUGAGGCCUGAACCCUCUCCAUGGCCUCCUGCCACAAGACCCUGAGUGAAACAGCAGCUUGGGGGACGACCUCAUUAAGAUAAUAUCCAACUGAAGCA